AUAAUAAUUACAUAUCACAAUAUUAUGUACAUAACAACUAGUUUCUGAUAAUCAGACAAUGGUACGUAUGAUAGAACCCAUAGAUCUGUGAUGGCAAAUUUCUCUAUGAAAACUACUGAGUAUGUUCUUGUCAUAUUACACAUAUUUUAAGUACUAAGGUUUAGUCAAUUAAGUAAAAAUUAUACAAAACGGUGUAGAAUAACAAGGAAAAAUUAUGCGGUGCUAAUUAGUGAUAUGCCUGUAAUGCAUCUAAAGCUAUUUAGUUAGAAAAGGUGUAGCUCUCAAAAAAGUCUGGAAUGUAUGCGCACUUUUACAGGUACAAUCAAUGACCACAACUAUAAUUCUAUAUUAGCCAUAACUACCAAUAGCUUAACAAAUUGGACUUCUCUUUUAUCAAUUGUUUUAGUAGUAAUGUACAUGUUAUCGUUGACAAAAAAUUUGGACUUUACCUGUUUCAUACUUAUCACCCCUACAUUUCCAAAAUUCGUUUUUAGUUUGAACCGCAAUAAAACAAUGUAUAUUUAAGUUAUGAAACGUGGCGAUAUGAUUUAUCUAAUGAUAUGAUUUCCUAGAUAAAUGAUUGCUAGUAAAAUAAUGAUUAAUUCCGAAAAGUACAAAAA
Molecule: long non-coding RNA, 620 nt
Organism: Cydia amplana
Lineage: Eukaryota; Metazoa; Arthropoda; Insecta; Lepidoptera; Tortricidae
Exons: 2
Source: RefSeq, a predicted model, not a curated record